Molecule: long non-coding RNA, 435 nt
Filed under: Cyanistes caeruleus (blue tit)
Lineage: Eukaryota; Metazoa; Chordata; Aves; Passeriformes; Paridae
Description: lncRNA (ENSCCEG00000002542.1)
Source: RNAcentral
ACAUUCUGCCUCAUUUGAUAGGCUCAGGGCUUCACCUCUGUGGAAGAAAAGAUGUGGUACAUCAUGUUUUGAAGAACAUAAGCAGAUUUGAUAGAAGUCUGGAAGUAAGGACCUACUUUCAUGAAAAUGGAAAUUUAAGGCUGCAUGGAUUUCACUUCUGUCUCUCAAGCAACCAUCUCGGACCAUGUUUCUUGGGAAAAAAGAUACCCAUUUCAGGUCUCCAGCAGCAAAGAGCAUUGGUGCUAUGGAGGGGCUGUGGAAUGAUAGAAUUUCCAAUACAUUUCUGGAGUCUUUCCAGGGGAGACUUUUAAAAAGUAGAGCAUGUGCUUUCUGGAAAGUAAUAGGAUAAAGUGUUUGCGGCAGUUUCUCAAAUGCAAAGGAGCUAUGUGCAUCACAGAGAGGUUUGCAUCAAGUGGUUUGACAAAGUCAAAUUCA